RNAcentral lists this long non-coding RNA (1377 nucleotides) under Acanthaster planci (crown-of-thorns starfish). RNAcentral describes it as "uncharacterized LOC110984473, transcript variant X3". The record is from RNAcentral. Lineage: Eukaryota; Metazoa; Echinodermata; Asteroidea; Valvatida; Acanthasteridae.
GACUGCGGACAGACGUCACACGCUCACUGCAAACAACACGUGGGUGCGUUGGAAGACGUGCUGGUACUGAGCGCACGGUGGUCACGACUUUGUGUGAGGAAUCGCUGGCACACCUACGUGAUAUCAUAGCUCUAUGGUGAUAUGGAUUUUUCAGCAAAGAGGUUUGGCAGUGAUGCAUGAGGAAAGUCAAGGAAACGUCGAAGAGUGGCACAAUUAAGAGACUCAACUUCAUUAGGGCCAGGCUAGUGGACUAUACCUCCAAUACUUGGCCCUAUACUCCUUAACGAGAAACAGGUGGAGGAAGGCUUAAACAUUGGGAUAAAGCUCCCCGGCCACGAACGGUAUCAACCACAUACAGAUUUUGUUACAACUGUGAUUUUCUCAAGAUCUUCAGUGGCAGUGAACAUGUACAACUCUAGACACCAGCAGUUGUGGUGAUCUCUGAGAACGUUAAUAACUGCACACCACAUUAGGUCUGCCGUGUAUUCUAUUGCACCAUAUGCCUGCAUUGCAUUGGCUGGACGCCACACCUGCAUACACACCUGGCAGCUGGCAAUCAGAUCAAGCCCUUUAUUGUCAUAAUAUCUGCUCUUGGAACAGUGAUGAAGGUCCAAGCAAGACAGUCAGAUUUUGGAAUCAAAGAGGGCCAGCAGUCUGUAGCUACAACCCUUAGAAGAGGAGUUUUAAAACAGUGGUGAAAACUGCAUGUAUCACUUUGCAAAUACUGACCUUGACCCUGACCCCACCAGAUGCAGCAUUCUGCAGCAGAUGUAAAAGGCUGAUGCACUAUAGCCGUGUUCCUCUUUGACUUUUUCUUCCGUGGGCGUGCGGAAACUUACUGCCACAUGCCUUUGUGUCAAUCUACCGGGCAUUCCCACCUCGGACUUGUUUUUAACCGUAAUGGAAUGCUUAUUUGCUGUGUUAGGCCUAACAUGAUAAGACCAGCUGAUUACAUAGCCUGCGCUGUACAAAAUGAUGAAAUCGGCAAAAUUUGACAAAAACAAAGAUAAAAUCAGACAAAUUUGGCCAAAUCUGCUAUAAAGACGACAAACUCGUACAAGAAAAGCCCUGUACAAAAUGUGUGUAUAGCUUUAUCUGGGCAUGCCUCACUGUGUGUGUGUGGCAUGCUGCUGUACUGUACGCAUGGAGCUGGAGGCUGGGAACCAUACAACCAUUUUCUCUGUGUGGGCAAUAGUCUGGUUCGUAUGUUUAGCGUGGUCGCGGUCAAUCUACAUUGUAUGGGAAUUGUUCCCAGUGGACUUUUCGCACCCCUGCUAACUUACCGUGUCUGCACGGAAAGCUUAUGCGACCCUUUCGGCCUGUUAGCUUUACAUCGCGAUCACGGUAAGUUGACAGGGACGUUAUAGUUUACCGUGU